GACGAACGCUGGCGGCGUGCCUAAUACAUGCAAGUUGAGCGAUGAAGAUUGGUGCUUGCACCAAUUUGAAGAGCAGCGAACGGGUGAGUAACGCGUGGGGAAUCUGCCUUUGAGCGGGGGACAACAUUUGGAAACGAAUGCUAAUACCGCAUAACAACUUUAAACAUAAGUUUUAAGUUUGAAAGAUGCAAUUGCAUCACUCAAAGAUGAUCCCGCGCUGUAUUAGCUAGUUGGUGAGGUAAAGGCUCACCAAGGCGAUGAUACAUAGCCGACCUGAGAGGGUGAUCGGCCACAUUGGGACUGAGACACGGCCCAAACUCCUACGGGAGGCAGCAGUAGGGAAUCUUCGGCAAGGGACGAAAGUCUGAACGAGCAACGCCGCGUGAGUGAAGAAGGUUUUCGGAUCGUAAAACUCUGUUGGUAGAGAAGAACGUUGGUGAGAGUGGAAAGCUCAUCAAGUGACGGUAACUACACAGAAAGGGACGGCUAACUACGUG
This 497-nucleotide ribosomal RNA is filed under the name uncultured bacterium. RNAcentral describes it as "partial 16S ribosomal RNA". It matches the Rfam family "Bacterial small subunit ribosomal RNA", at positions 28 to 507 of the family's 1533-position model. The record is from RNAcentral.